GCGAAAGUCCCGCAAGGGAUAAGUAGAGUGGCAAACGGGUGAGUAACACGUGGGUGACCUGCCUUCGAGCGGGGGAUAACGUCCCGAAAGGGACGCUAAUACCGCAUAACAUCCUGCCUUUGAAGAGGCGGUGAUCAAAGCUGGGGAUCGCAAGACCUAGCACUCGAAGAGGGGCCCGCGUCCGAUUAGCUAGUUGGUGAGGUAAUGGCUCACCAAGGCAACGAUCGGUAGCCGGCCUGAGAGGGCGGACGGCCACACUGGGACUGAGACACGGCCCAGACUCCUACGGGAGGCAGCAGUGGGGAAUUGUUCGCAAUGGGCGCAAGCCUGACGACGCAACGCCGCGUGGAGGAUGAAGAUCUUCGGGUCGUAAACUCCUUUCGAUCGAGACGAAUUCCUUCGGGGUGAACAAUCCCGGAGGUUGACGGUACCGAGAGAAGAAGCCCCGGCUAACUCCGUGCCAGCAGCCGCGGUAAUACGGGGGGGGCAAGCGUUGUUCGGAAUUACUGGGCGUAAAGGGCUCGUAGGUGGCCAACUAAGUCAGACGUGAAAUCCCUCGGCUUAACCGGGGAACUGCGUCUGAUACUGGUUGGCUUGAGUUUGGGAGAGGGAUGCGGAAUUCCAGGUGUAGCGGUGAAAUGCGUAGAUAUCUGGAGGAACACCGGUGGCGAAGGCGGCAUCCUGGACCAACACUGACGCUGAGGAGCGAAAGCCAGGGGA
Molecule: ribosomal RNA, 720 nt
Filed under: uncultured Acidobacteriota bacterium
Lineage: Bacteria; Pseudomonadati; Acidobacteriota
Description: bacterial SSU rRNA
Rfam family: Bacterial small subunit ribosomal RNA
Source: RNAcentral